RNAcentral lists this ribosomal RNA (483 nucleotides) under uncultured bacterium. RNAcentral's name for it is "partial 16S ribosomal RNA". It matches the Rfam family "Bacterial small subunit ribosomal RNA", at positions 30 to 507 of the family's 1533-position model. The record is from RNAcentral.
UUGAACGCUGGCGGCGGGCCUAACACAUGCAAGUCGAGCGGAUGAAGGGAGCUUGCUCCUGGAUUCAGCGGCGGACGGGUGAGUAAUGCCUAGGAAUCUGCCUGGUAGUGGGGGAUAACGUCCGGAAACGGGCGCUAAUACCGCAUACGUCCUGAGGGAGAAAGUGGGGGAUCUUCGGACCUCACGCUAUCAGAUGAGCCUAGGUCGGAUUAGCUAGUUGGUGGGGUAAAGGCCUACCAAGGCGACGAUCCGUAACUGGUCUGAGAGGAUGAUCAGUCACACUGGAACUGAGACACGGUCCAGACUCCUACGGGAGGCAGCAGUGGGGAAUAUUGGACAAUGGGCGAAAGCCUGAUCCAGCCAUGCCGCGUGUGUGAAGAAGGUCUUCGGAUUGUAAAGCACUUUAAGUUGGGAGGAAGGGCAGUAAGUUAAUACCUUGCUGUUUUGACGUUACCAACAGAAUAAGCACCGGCUAACUUCGUG